UGGGGAAUAUUGGACAAUGGGGGCAACCCUGAUCCAGCGACGCCGCGUGUGUGAAGAAGGCCUGCGGGUUGUAAAGCACUCUUAGUGGGGAUGAAAAGCACAUUGCUAAUACCAGUGUGUCUUGACCUAACCCAAAGAAAAAGCACCGGCUAACUCUGUGCCAGCAGCCGCGGUAAUACAGAGGGUGCGAGCGUUAAUCGGAAUUACUGGGCGUAAAGCGUGCGUAGACGGUUAUCUAAGUCGGAUGUGAAAGCCCCGGGCUCAACCUGGGAAUUGCAUUCGAGACUGAAUAGCUAGCGUGCGGUAGAGGGAAGCGGAAUUUCCGGUGUAGCGGUGAAAUGCGUAGAUAUCGGAAGGAACAUCAGUGGCGAAAGCGGCUUCCUGGACCAGCACCGACGUUCAGGCACGAAAGCGUGGGGAGCAAA
Molecule: ribosomal RNA, 425 nt
Filed under: uncultured bacterium
Lineage: Bacteria
Description: bacterial SSU rRNA
Rfam family: Bacterial small subunit ribosomal RNA
Source: RNAcentral